This 336-nucleotide long non-coding RNA is filed under the name Gossypium raimondii (Peruvian cotton). RNAcentral's name for it is "long non-coding RNA (GRAI_LNC000679)". Lineage: Eukaryota; Viridiplantae; Streptophyta; Magnoliopsida; Malvales; Malvaceae. The record is from RNAcentral.
CGUGCCGCGCUAGGCUAGGGUUCCUCUUUCUCUUUUUCUUCUAAAAACUGUCUAGGCCAUUAGGGUUUUCUAAUUUGGGCCAUAUUAGACCAUUGUAAAUUUGGGCUAUUUGUUGUAAUGGACUUGGACUUUAAUUAUUUUCUAGUUUUUUUUUCUGUUUGGUUUUUUUUUGUUUGGGCCCAGACGAAAUUGGUCCCUUAGAGCUGCCCCUCUUUACACGUUGUCGUGUAACGAGAAUGGAGUAAAGACUUUUAAGAAGGACCAAUUUUGUCCGGUCUCGCCGAAUCUCGUCCUUUUUGGUGCUCCUCUUUUUCAAGUAACUUCAUUCUACCCCAC